RNAcentral lists this ribosomal RNA (446 nucleotides) under uncultured bacterium. Its description in RNAcentral is "bacterial SSU rRNA". It matches the Rfam family "Bacterial small subunit ribosomal RNA", at positions 330 to 792 of the family's 1533-position model. The record is from RNAcentral.
CCCAGACUCCUACGGGAGGCAGCAGUGGGGGAUAUUGCACAAUGGGGGAAACCCUGAUGCAGCGACGCCGCGUGAGUGAAGAAGUAUUUCGGUAUGUAAAGCUCUAUCAGCAGGGAAGAAAAAAGACGGUACCUGACUAAGAAGCCCCGGCUAACUACGUGCCAGCAGCCGCGGUAAUACGUAGGGGGCAAGCGUUAUCCGGAUUUACUGGGUGUAAAGGGAGCGUAGACGGCAAUACAAGUCGGAAGUGAAAUACCCGGGCUUAACCUGGGAACUGCUUUGGAAACUGUAUGGCUGGAGUGCUGGAGAGGUAAGCGGAAUUCCUAGUGUAGCGGUGAAAUGCGUAGAUAUUAGGAGGAACACCAGUGGCGAAGGCGGCUUACUGGACUGUAACUGACGUUGAGGCUCGAAAGCGUGGGGAGCAAACAGGAUUAGAUACCCUUGUA